Molecule: ribosomal RNA, 435 nt
Filed under: uncultured Roseburia sp.
Lineage: Bacteria; Bacillati; Bacillota; Clostridia; Lachnospirales; Lachnospiraceae
Description: partial 16S ribosomal RNA
Rfam family: Bacterial small subunit ribosomal RNA
Source: RNAcentral
ACGGAAGGCAGCAGUGGGGAAUAUUGCACAAUGGGCGAAAGCCUAAUGCAGCGACGCCGCGUGAGUGAAGAAGUAUUUCGGUAUGUAAAGCUCUAUCAGCAGGGAAGAAAAAUGACGGUACCUGACUAAGAAGCACCGGCUAAAUACGUGCCAGCAGCCGCGGUAAUACGUAUGGUGCAAGCGUUAUCCGGAUUUACUGGGUGUAAAGGGAGCGCAGGCGGUACGGCAAGUCUGAUGUGAAAGCCCGGGGCUCAACCCCGGUACUGCAUUGGAAACUGUCGAACUAGAGUGUCGGAGGGGUAAGCGGAAUUCCUAGUGUAGCGGUGAAAUGCGUAGAUAUUAGGAGGAACACCAGUGGCGAAGGCGGCUUACUGGACGAUAACUGACGCUGAGGCUCGAAAGCGUGGGGAGCAAACAGGAUUAGAUACCCUGGUA